AAUAGAUACCCCGGUAGUCCACGCCGUAAACGAUGAGUGCUAAGUGUUAGAGGGUUUCCGCCCUUUAGUGCUGCAGCUAACGCAUUAAGCACUCCGCCUGGGGAGUACGGCCGCAAGGCUGGAACUCAAAGGAAUUGACGGGGGCCCGCACAAGCGGUGGAGCAUGUGGUUUAAUUCGAAGCAACGCGAAGAACCUUACCAGGUCUUGACAUCCUCUGACAACCCUAGAGAUAGGGCUUUCCCCUUCGGGGGACAGAGUGACAGGUGGUGCAUGGUUGUCGUCAGCUCGUGUCGUGAGAUGUUGGGUUAAGUCCCGCAACGAGCGCAACCCUUGAUCUUAGUUGCCAGCAUUCAGUUGGGCACUCUAAGGUGACUGCCGGUGACAAACCGGAGGAAGGUGGGGAUGACGUCAAAUCAUCAUGCCCCUUAUGACCUGGGCUACACACGUGCUACAAUGGAUGGUACAAAGGGCUGCAAACCUGCGAAGGUAAGCGAAUCCCAUAAAGCCAUUCUCAGUUCGGAUUGCAGG
Molecule: ribosomal RNA, 529 nt
Filed under: uncultured bacterium
Lineage: Bacteria
Description: bacterial SSU rRNA
Rfam family: Bacterial small subunit ribosomal RNA
Source: RNAcentral